AUACCAGGCGUCNACGGGUAGCCGGCCUGAGAGGGUGGACGGCCACAUUGGGACUGAGACACGGCCCAAACUCCUACGGGAGGCAGCAGUGGGGAAUAUUGCACAAUGGGCGCAAGCCUGAUGCAGCGACGCCGCGUGGGGGAUGACGGCCUUCGGGUUGUAAACUCCUUUCAACCAUGACGAAGCUUUUUGUGACGGUAGUGGUAGAAGAAGCACCGGCUAACUACGUGCCAGCAGCCGCGGUAAUACAAAA
Molecule: ribosomal RNA, 253 nt
Filed under: uncultured bacterium
Lineage: Bacteria
Description: partial 16S ribosomal RNA
Rfam family: Bacterial small subunit ribosomal RNA
Source: RNAcentral